AGAAACUAAGUGGUUUUUACACCAAGUACAAUUCAGCUCCCAUACGAAGAAUCAUACAACUCAGCUGCCGACAUGAGUCCUCAAUUGAAUCCCCACCUAACACUAACCCCUUCUCCAUACGAAUUUAAUUCGUAUUCAUAAUUCUCGCCUGGAUCUGUACCAAUUUAUAGUACAAUUCAUACACAACAAUCUUGCUGUAACUUUUCAUCAUUCUCUUGAUCUUUCUUCAUACCAUAAUCUUAUCAGAUCACGGAGUGAUCUCAUCGUAUAUAUUACGAUUCAUUGCUAUUCUGUGAUCGUUUUGUUUUACGAUCUCCCAUCCUUACACUUGUAAUCUCUUAGACUCUAUCUAUCCACUUCCUAUACUUGGUACACAUCGAGUCUUUAACAGUUUUCAAUAUGGUACGCUGAGUGGUUUCCCACAAACAACCAACAAACUAGGUUCCGAGUUGCUAGUUCGUAUAUACCUCCGCUCUAUGAAGGAAUCGUUUAGCCCAGAUACCAUACAUCAACUAGUUUCGAGUACAAUGGUACCAUACUUAAACCUAACUCUUUGACCCUGCGAGAUUCUUCAACUAACUCUAUGUGAGUUAGUACUUAUCCUAAUCACUGCGGUUAUUGGUCUCAGGUAUUGCUACCUAAGCUUCAUAACCAACAGCUUUGAUACCAACUGUGGCGUCCCCGAAUCCGGGUCUCGAAUCGCCGCGGAUCCGGUUCGCUAUUUCUACA
This 729-nucleotide long non-coding RNA is filed under the name Panax ginseng (ginseng). RNAcentral describes it as "long non-coding RNA (PGIN_LNC000121)". Lineage: Eukaryota; Viridiplantae; Streptophyta; Magnoliopsida; Apiales; Araliaceae. The record is from RNAcentral.